CCUACGGGAGGCUGCAGUGAGGAAUAUUGGUCAAUGGGCGCGAGCCUGAACCAGCCAAGUCGCGUGAGGGAGUACUGCCCUCUGGGUUGUAAACCUCUUUUGUCGGGGAGAAAAAGCCGGACGUGUCCGGCUGUGAGAGUACCCGAAGAAAAAGCAUCGGCUCACUCCGUGCCAGCAGCCGCGGUAAUACGGAGGCGGAGAGCGUUAUCCGGAUUUCGUGGGUUUAAAGGGUGCGCAGGCGGAUUUUUAAGUCAGCGGUAAGAUCGUGGGGUUCAACCCCAUCCAGCCGUUGAAACUGGAGAUCUAGAGUGUGCGAGAGGUAUGCGGAAUGCGUGGUGUAGCGGUGAAAUGCAUAGAUAUCAGGCAGAACCCCGAUUGCGAAGGCAGCAUACUGGUGCACAACUGACGCUCAGGCACGAAAGCGUGGGUAUCGAACAGGAUUAGAUACCCGGGUAGUC
Molecule: ribosomal RNA, 458 nt
Filed under: uncultured bacterium
Lineage: Bacteria
Description: partial 16S ribosomal RNA
Rfam family: Bacterial small subunit ribosomal RNA
Source: RNAcentral